GUUAAGUUAGUUUAUAAAAAUACCAGCUUGUGGAUUUGGAGAUAAGAGUUGUUCUUACUUAACC
This 64-nucleotide transfer RNA is filed under the name Sydaphera spengleriana. Its description in RNAcentral is "tRNA-His". The record is from RNAcentral. Lineage: Eukaryota; Metazoa; Mollusca; Gastropoda; Neogastropoda; Cancellariidae.